GCAUGGCCUAAAUGUAGUUGUUGGGUUAACCACAACACAAUUGAUUUAUUUUAUUUAAAAUAAUACUUUAAUAAUAAAUUGCAUAAAUUUAUAACAUUUAACAUAUACUCGUUGCAUUGUUUAGAACCUCAUCAUAUAUAUAUAUAUAUAUAUAUAAAUAUAUAUAUAUAUAUAUAUGUAUGUAUGUGUAUGGAUGGUAAGGUCUAUGUGCCAUAAGUGUUUAACUGAUUAAAGCAAAGAUUAAAAUAAAACCCGAACAAGGGAAAACAA
Long non-coding RNA from Drosophila navojoa, 270 nucleotides. Lineage: Eukaryota; Metazoa; Arthropoda; Insecta; Diptera; Drosophilidae. The record is from RefSeq and is a predicted model, not a curated record.